Molecule: long non-coding RNA, 898 nt
Organism: Bos taurus (domestic cattle)
Lineage: Eukaryota; Metazoa; Chordata; Mammalia; Artiodactyla; Bovidae
Source: Ensembl
GCUUAACAGGAGCUGACAGAUAAGGGGUAGGAGGCGUGGAGAAGUCAGCCAGCCUAAGAUUGCAUUUCUUAAUUCUGGACUGUACAGUAUAAUCAGCUUCCUUGAUGGUUCAGAGGCAAAGAAUCCACCUGCAAUGCUAGAGAUCAGGAUUUAAUCCCUGGGCUGGGAAGAUCCCAGAGGAGGAAAUGGCAACCCACUUCAGUAUUCUUCUCUGGAAAAUCCCAUGGCCAGAGGAGCCUGGCAGGCUGCAGUCCACGGGGGCAUGCAAGAGUGGGACACAACUGAGCACGGGAGCACUAGGGCACAAAGGGACACAAAGAUAUUUCAAAAUCCUGCCAACACAACUCAGGACCAAGCUUAGACUUUCUCUGGGCCACAAGUGACUGACGUGAAACAUCUUUCUUCUUAAGAUGGUGACUUAUCCAAUAGAUCACUAUAGAAAAUCACCUAUGACGAAUGGAAAUCAUAAAGAAUUUCCCCCCAGAGUAAAUGACAUAGACACUUUCCCUGCAAUUCAACUACUCUACCUCUUAGUGACGUUCUUUAUUAUUGGAGUAUCCUGGAGGGAAUAUCACAAAAAUGAAAACAUGAAGAAAGAAAAAGGUAUGUUACCUUCAUCCAUGUACAAAGAUUUGACUAAUAACCUAAUUGAUUCUAAUUCUUAAUUCAUUUGUAAGUUGUAUAAAUUUAUUGGAAAUAAAUGAGCUUAUCUAAUCUUUUAUUAAGAGAAAGAAGUAAAAGGACAAUUUAUCUCCUCCCAAAUGGAAAAUAAAUAAUUGAAGAAAAGUCAGACCUGAUUUAUAUAAAAGCUAUGUUCUUGGUACAUUGGCAUUAUGUAAAAUGGAAUUUUGUCCAUAAAAGAAUUACUAUUCAUUUCUCUGUAAUUUUAUUUGUGAAU